This 294-nucleotide long non-coding RNA is filed under the name Aotus nancymaae (Ma's night monkey). RNAcentral describes it as "lncRNA (ENSANAG00000038878.1)". Lineage: Eukaryota; Metazoa; Chordata; Mammalia; Primates; Aotidae. The record is from RNAcentral.
AAUUAAUACUAUGCCUGACAGAGUGGAAACCUGAAAAACAUUUGCUGAAUGAAUGAAAAGACUUAUGAAAGAUGUCUUUGCAAUGAGGUCAAGUGUUCCAGGGCACUGAUGGUGUCCACGUGGAGGCUCGGCAUUCUUCAGUGACAUCAGGAUUGUAUCAUAGGAAAAAGUGAACAUCCUCUUCGUCUUGAAUGCUUCCUAAAAGCACCAGCCCAGCUCAAGUGGCAGUAACAGUAAAGGAAACCUGGAAGGAAUGGGCACUUUCAGAGUAAGUGAAUUUUUCCUAGAUGUAUG